This 375-nucleotide ribosomal RNA is filed under the name uncultured bacterium. RNAcentral describes it as "bacterial SSU rRNA". It matches the Rfam family "Bacterial small subunit ribosomal RNA", at positions 523 to 898 of the family's 1533-position model. The record is from RNAcentral.
AUACGUAGGGUGCAAGCGUUAAUCGGAAUUACUGGGCGUAAAGCGUGCGCAGGCGGUUCGGAAAGAAGGAUGUGAAAUCCCGGGGCUUAACCUCGGAACUGCAUUCUUAACUGCCGGGCUAGAGUAUGUCAGAGGGGGGUAGAAUUCCACGUGUAGCAGUGAAAUGCGUAGAGAUGUGGAGGAAUACCGAUGGCGAAGGCAGCCCCCUGGGAUAAUACUGACGCUCAUGCACGAAAGCGUGGGGAGCAAACAGGAUUAGAUACCCUGGUAGUCCACGCCCUAAACGAUGUCAACUAGCUGUUGGGGCCUUCGGGCCUUAGUAGCGCAGCUAACGCGUGAAGUGGACCGCCUGGGGAGUACGGUCGCAAGAUUAAA